UAGGGGAGUUUGUUGGGCUAGGUCAGGUCAAACGACUCCCAGAGACAGGCCACUAAAGAUGCAGGUGAGAGUGUUAGGGGAGCUUGUUGGGCUAGGUUAGGUCAAAUGACUCCCAGAGACAGGCCACUAAAGAUGCAGGUGAGAGUGCUAGGGGAGCUUGUUGGGCUAGGUUAGGUCAAAUGAUUCCCAGAGACAGGCCACUAAAGAUGCAGGUAAGAGUGUUAGGGGAGUUUGUUGGGCUAGGUUAGGUCAAAUGAUUCCCAGAGACAGGCCACUAAAGAUGCAGGUAAGAGUGUUAGGGGAGUUUGUUGGGCUAGGUUAGGUCAAAUGAUUCCCAGAGACAGACCACUAAAGAUGCAGGUAAUAGUGUUAGGGGAGUUUGUUGGGCUAGGUUAGGUCAAAUGACUCCCAGAGACAGGCCACUAAAGAUGCAGGUGAGAGUGCUAGGGGAGCUUGUUGGGUUAGGUUAGGUCAAAUGACUCCCAGAGACAGGCCAUUAAAGAUGCAGGUAAGAGUGUUAGGGGAGUUUGUUGGGCUAGGUUAGGUCAAAUGAUUCCUAGAGACAGGCCACUAAAGAUGCAGGUGAGAGUGCUAGGGGAGCUUGUUGGGCUAGGUUAGGUCAAAUGAUUCCCAGAGACAGGCCACUAAAGAUGCAGGUAAUAGUGUUAGGGGAGUUUGUUGGGUUAGGUUAGGUCAAAUGACUCCCGAGACAGGCCACUAAAGAUGCAGGUGAGAGUGCUAGGGGAGCUUGUUGGGCUAGGUUAGGUCAAAUGAUUCCCAGAGACAGGCCACUAAAGAUGCAGGUGAGAGUAUUAGGGGAGUUUGUUGGGCUAGGUUAGGUCAAAUGAUUUCCAGAGACAGGCCACUAAAGAUGCAGAUGAGAGUGUUAGGGGAGCUUGUUGGGCUAGGUUAGGUCAAAUGACUCCCAGACACAGGCCACUAAAGAUGCAGGUAAGAGUGUUAGGGGAGCUUGUUGGGCUAGGUUAGGUCAAAUGACUCCCAGAGACAGGCCACUAAAGAUGCAGGUGAGAGUGCUAGGGGAGCUUGUUGGGCUAGGUUAGGUCAAACGACUCCCAGAGACAGGCCACUAAAGAUGCAGGUGAGAGUGCUAGGGGAGCUUGUUGGGCUAGGUCAGGUCAAAUGACUCCCAGAGACAGGCCACUAAAGAUGCAGGUAAGAGUGUUAGGGGAGCUUGUUGGGCUAGGUUAGGUCAAAUGACUCCCAGAGACAGGCCACUAAAGA
This is a long non-coding RNA of Nematostella vectensis (starlet sea anemone), 1242 nucleotides long. RefSeq lists it as uncharacterized. Lineage: Eukaryota; Metazoa; Cnidaria; Anthozoa; Actiniaria; Edwardsiidae. The record is from RefSeq and is a predicted model, not a curated record. The transcript has 2 exons.